This 253-nucleotide ribosomal RNA is filed under the name uncultured bacterium. RNAcentral describes it as "partial 16S ribosomal RNA". It matches the Rfam family "Bacterial small subunit ribosomal RNA", at positions 524 to 776 of the family's 1533-position model. The record is from RNAcentral.
UACGGAGGAUGCAAGCGUUAUCCGGAAUGAUUGGGCGUAAAGAGUUCGCAGGCGGCCAUGUAAGUCUGCUGUGAAAGCGUCUGGCUCAACCUGAUAAAGGCAGUGGAAACUACAUAGCUAGAGUAAGGUAGGGGUAGAGGGAAUUCCUGGUGUAGCGGUGAAAUGCGUAGAGAUCAGGAAGAACACCGGUGGCGAAAGCGCGCUGCUGGACCUUAACUGACACUGAGGGACGAAAGCUAGGGGAGCGAAUGGG